RNAcentral lists this ribosomal RNA (253 nucleotides) under uncultured bacterium. Its description in RNAcentral is "partial 16S ribosomal RNA". It matches the Rfam family "Bacterial small subunit ribosomal RNA", at positions 524 to 776 of the family's 1533-position model. The record is from RNAcentral.
UACGAAGGGGGCUAGCGUUGCUCGGAAUCACUGGGCGUAAAGCGCACGUAGGCGGCUUGUUAAGUCGGGGGUGAAAUCCUGGAGCUCAACUCCAGAACUGCCUUCGAUACUGGCGAGCUUGAGUCCGGGAGAGGUGAGUGGAACUGCGAGUGUAGAGGUGAAAUUCGUAGAUAUUCGCAAGAACACCAGUGGCGAAGGCGGCUCACUGGCCCGGUACUGACGCUGAGGUGCGAAAGCGUGGGGAGCAAACAGG